UAACCUGCCCAAGAGGCUGGGAUAACACCUGGAAACAGAUGCUAAUACCGGAUAACAACACUAGACGCAUGUCUAGAGUUUAAAAGAUGGUUCUGCUAUCACUCUUGGAUGGACCUGCGGUGCAUUAGCUAGUUGGUAAGGUAACGGCUUACCAAGGCAAUGAUGCAUAGCCGAGUUGAGAGACUGAUCGGCCACAUUGGGACUGAGACACGGCCCAAACUCCUACGGGAGGCAGCAG
RNAcentral lists this ribosomal RNA (238 nucleotides) under uncultured bacterium. Its description in RNAcentral is "partial 16S ribosomal RNA". It matches the Rfam family "Bacterial small subunit ribosomal RNA", at positions 122 to 354 of the family's 1533-position model. The record is from RNAcentral.